GUUAAAGGGGCUCUGAUGUUCGUGCCACUUCCAACCAAUAUCCUAUGAUUCUAUAGAUCACAACUUCUCCAUCCUGUAGCAGACAGUUUUAUGAAGAGUACCCUCAAAACCAGUUAUCACCUGCUGGCUGAGCAGCUGAUGGUGAACCAUUGUGAAUUUGGAUAGAAAGUGUCUAGUGGCAAGGCAAAAAUCAGGAAGACUGGCAAUGAAUGACUUAAGAUGCAUUGGGUGUCCUUGGCAUCUUUGAUGUCUGACCAAGAUCUGAGUACUCCACAGUGCCUACUUCAGCAGCCCUCAUGGUCACUAGAACAAAAUUGUUCUGGUCUGUUCCACCAAGAAAAAUCUCCACAUGCUUUGCCACAAGGAAGAUUUGUCUCUAUGAUAUGGAAUUGAAAUCCAACAAGCAGCAUUCUGAAACAUGUAAAGAAAAUGAGCUUCGGGCAACUAACUUGAAGCCUGAGAAACCCUGUGAGUUUUUUAAGGCAAAUAUCUUUCUAAAGAAAGAAGAAUGAAAAUGGGAUUGCUGUUUUCUGCAAUAAUACCAUUCAGACCUCUUUGAAUUACAAACUGUAAGGAAACGUGUUUAACUGUGCAGUCUUUUUCAUAUCAUAAACUAGGAACUCUGAGAUCAGCUACUUUUUUUUAAGGGAAGAGAAUUCAGUGGGGUAUAGAUGUGGUGCAUACAGGUCUCAGCUAGGGCACUCCCUCCUUCAAUGCAGAGGAGCAACUCAUCUGUAAUUAAAAGUCUUAAAUUAUUACCUAGGGCAAUGUAGUCAAGUGACUUGUCCAUGUCACAUAGCUAGUGUAUGUCAGAGACGUGUUCCUGCCUUUAAGACUGGCCCUCUAGACACUGUAUAAUCUGCUUCUUUGCUUUGAAAUAAAUGGGAAGAUUUGAUUUGUUUUCUUUACUGC
This 912-nucleotide long non-coding RNA is filed under the name Monodelphis domestica (gray short-tailed opossum). Its description in RNAcentral is "lncRNA (ENSMODG00000043877.1)". Lineage: Eukaryota; Metazoa; Chordata; Mammalia; Didelphimorphia; Didelphidae. The record is from RNAcentral.